RNAcentral lists this non-coding RNA (45 nucleotides) under Schistosoma margrebowiei. Lineage: Eukaryota; Metazoa; Platyhelminthes; Trematoda; Strigeidida; Schistosomatidae. The record is from RNAcentral.
GUCCAUCUGACGAGUCCCAAAUAAGACGAAGCGCCCAUCCUGGAU